AUAUCCAUCCCUCAGUCAACUCUGUCAACUCCCCGCACAUGGCUAAUUCACACGUAACACUCUUCCCUUCUUUUAUGCAUUCUUACGCAUCUCAAAUGUUUCCUAACAGACGAUUAUUAAUUGAAUAUUUCAGUAAUUAUCAAUUUGCGACCUCAUUGGUAAAAUUUACUCAGAAUUCAAAAAGAAAUUAGGCAUUCUAUUUUAAAAACUGAAAGUGACCAUCAUAUUUCGAUAAAAACGAAACGAAACAAAAACAGCCCCUCCCCCCCUCUCCUGAAAACUAUGUAACAUUUGUUUAAAAAUUUUUAUCGCACAGUAAAGAAACAUCUUGAGCAUCACUCGUCGUAUUAAGAGACUCAUCCCAUAUAGGAGGGACAAGAAUAUCAAUUAAAGUUGGCAUCAAUAUCAGCGUUAUCAUUGAUGAACUACGAGACGGCAAAGUUAAUUCAGGGAUCUACCGUCAGAUGGCAGUUAAGCUUGGAUCAACAAUUGAAACCAAUGAAAACAUGUAAUAGUCUGAGGACACAUCUAAACGUCAAAAUGUAUGCAAAGGCAAUGACAUAGCUUUGUAAUUACAACGAAGAACAGAUUUUUCAGAGGAGCUCAAUCGCUAGGCGACUUAAACUUUCCAUUUGUAUUAUAAUUUAUAUUAUAUAUGUAUGUAUAUAUCCCUAUAUUGAUUAAAUGGAUUACUGUCGAACUUCAACAUUUUGAUACAAAGUAAGUAAGGGAAAUAUCGCAUGCUUUGGUAAUUAAGAACACUGUCACAUC
Ceratina calcarata is the source of this 771-nucleotide long non-coding RNA. RefSeq lists it as uncharacterized. The record is from RefSeq and is a predicted model, not a curated record. Lineage: Eukaryota; Metazoa; Arthropoda; Insecta; Hymenoptera; Apidae. The transcript is spliced from 3 exons.